Cucurbita maxima (winter squash) is the source of this 1382-nucleotide long non-coding RNA. RefSeq lists it as uncharacterized. The record is from RefSeq and is a predicted model, not a curated record. The transcript is spliced from 2 exons. NCBI's taxonomy places the organism in Eukaryota, Viridiplantae, Streptophyta, Magnoliopsida, Cucurbitales, Cucurbitaceae.
UGUGCUUCUAGUCCUAGGUGAAAAGUCGAGGCUUUUUCCUAAGGAUGAUCCUGGCGGCCCCAUGUAGGUUGGCGUAGGCUACUACUCCUUUGGUUGAUAGGUUUUACAAGGUUGGGAUGACUUGCAUUGGCAGGUUAGGGAGGAGGUUGAGAAACUAGGACAAGAGCUUUACAAGAAAACAUGUGAGCCUUUAAUAAUGACCGAGACUCCUCCAAUAGGGAAUUGCUGGCACCUCUUGAAACUGGAUGAGUAAGAUAAAGGAAUGCUCUGAUAUUAAAAAAGUUCUUGUGUUUGUUCUUUAUGGGUCUUAUUUGAUCGGUUGAACAUGUGAUCUGAUGUUUGAAUUUCAUACUGCAGAAUCUGGAAAGUGAAGAUCUACUCCAUCUAUUCUUUACAGUGAUCUUUUUGGGUUGUCGUUCUUUUAUUUGAUAUUGAAAAAUGCGUUUAACAUGAUUGAUUGGAAUUUUCUUGAUGAUAUUUUGAGUUCGGUUUUAGGAUCAAAUGAAGAGAAUGGAUUUGUUAGUCCAUUCAAGAAAAAACAUCUCGUUUGGCUGUCAAGGAGAUCAAAACUGAGUUCAUUGACACAUUCUAUCAAACAUUACUGUUAUUUUUUCUUUUUCUUUUACAGGAUGGGUCGAUUUCUCGAGUCCUUAUUAUAUUCUUUCGAGUCUACCAAAUGCAAAGAUAGGAGAUGGAAGUCUUCAACCUUAGAGAAGGUAACAUGUUUAUCAAAAUGGUGGGGUCAAAUGUGUCCACAAGGUUAUUAGACAACAUUGAGACACUAGUGCGACCUCUUAUGCUAUGCACUCCCCCAAGAAAAAGCUUGUCUGCUCGAUGCCAUACAAACGUUGCAUCUGUAACAUCGCAACGUUGUAUCGAUUUCCUUGAAGAAAGGAUAUUUUUUUUCUACUGGAUUUUAUACGGUGAAAAUUUAAAUUCGAUGAGUGAUUAUUUUUGUGUAUGUAUUCAUUAUUUUGGUGCUUCAAAAUAAGAAUAGCAAUGACGCUUUUUUAGAGAUACUUGUAUCGUGAGAGAGGAGCUCAGUGGAUAAGAGGUAACUCAAAGCUCUAUCCAUUCUUAAUCUCAGUCUCGAGAAGAAGAUUAGAUGUAUAGUCCCAAGUUUGAACUAAACCAAUAAAAAUUUUAAGAAAGAUUUGCUUCAGACUCCGAAAGGAAAAUCAUUUAGAUCGUGUUAACUCCCUCUAGUUUAUUGGAGACUUUUAAUUCCGAAGAGGUUAGAAAGUUGCCAUGUGGUUUGGGGAUAGAGAAAGCUUCUGGCUUUUUCUUUGGACCAGUUUUAUGUAUUAUUCUUUACUUGGCUCGUACACAUUUGCAGCAUCAAUUGUGAAUAUCAAUGGGAGAAAUCUUUGCUUUCCUUUGAA